UACGUAGGGGCUAGCGUUGUCCGGAAUUACUGGGCGUAAAGGGUGCGUAGGUGGUUUCUUAAGUCAGAGGUGAAAGGCUACGGCUCAACCCUAGUAAGCCUUUGAAACUGGGAAACUUGAGUGCAGGAGAGGAGAGUGGAAUUCCUAGUGUAGCGGUGAAAUGCGUAGAUAUUAGGAGGAACACCAGUUGCGAAGGCGGCUCUCUGGACUGUAACUGACACUGAGGCACGAAAGCGUGGGGAGCAAACAGGAUUAGAUACCCGCGUAGUCCCUGAGCGGG
This 280-nucleotide ribosomal RNA is filed under the name uncultured prokaryote. RNAcentral describes it as "partial 16S ribosomal RNA". It matches the Rfam family "Bacterial small subunit ribosomal RNA", at positions 524 to 803 of the family's 1533-position model. The record is from RNAcentral.